This is an RNA transcript of Girardinichthys multiradiatus, 2746 nucleotides long. RefSeq lists it as uncharacterized. Lineage: Eukaryota; Metazoa; Chordata; Actinopteri; Cyprinodontiformes; Goodeidae. The transcript has 5 exons. The record is from RefSeq and is a predicted model, not a curated record.
AUCAAAUGCUCUGAUUUCGCUGCUAUCACAACAACAUCGACCUUCAGCUGAGACUCUGACUCUUCGUGUUAACAUUGAUGGAUUGCCCCUGUUCCGAAGCUCUAAAAUGCAGUUAUGGCCUAUUUUGGCCAAAGUCAAAGAAAUUCCCGGAUGUAAUGUUAUUAUUAUUGGUCUGUAUGCAGGUUCUACAAAGCCCAAUUCUGUAGAGGAAUAUCUUAAGGACUUCAUCCAGGACCUGAAGCAUAUAACCCAGGAGGGUUUACAGUACAAUGGAAUGCAUUACAAUAUUGCACUUCCAGAUGCCUUCAUAUGUGAUGCCCCAGCCCGUGCCUUCCUAAAAUGUAUCAAGGGUCAUUCGGGUUACAGUUCCUGUGAACGCUGUACAGAGCAUGGGGUUCACAUGGACAACAGGGUUGUAUUUCCUAAUCUGGCCGCACCACUUAGAACAGAUUUAGAGUUUCAAAAUAUGGCAGAUGAAGAGCACCAUCGUGGUGUUUCCCCCCUACAAGAGCUAGGCAUAGGAAUGGUGUCAAGCUUUGUUCUUGACUACAUGCAUUUAGUUUGCUUAGGAAACGUUCGAAAACUUGUGAGUCUGUGGAUCAAAGGACCUUUACGUUGUCGGAUUUCUGCAACCACCAUCACAGUUAUCUCCGGCCAUUUGAAGCUAAUUAGAGGACAUCUCCCAAGAAAUUUUGCUCGAAAGCCACGGUCACUUAUGGAAUACAGUCAGUGGAAGGCCACUGAAUUCAGACAAUUUUUGUUAUACACUGUCCCUGUGGUUCUUAAAGGACGUUUACCUACAAGACUGUAUAAGAACUUCAUGUUGCUGUCUGUAGCAAUAAGAAUUCUACUCAGCCCAGCUUUGUGCAUUGAAUACUGUGAUUAUGCAGACAAACUGUUGAAAUGUUAUGUGACCAACUUUGAAAAAAUUUAUGGGACAGAGCACCUUGUGUACAACACACACUGUCUUAUACAUCUGGCUGAUGAUGCAAGAAGGUUUGGUCCCCUGGACAAUAUUUCAUGUUUCCCUUUCGAAAAUUAUCUGGGCACAUUAAAACAGCUGGUCAGAAGACCACAGUACCCUGUCCAACAAGUUGUACGGCGCUUAGGUGAAAAAACUAGCUGUCCUCCUCAGAUCAAAAAAAUGAGAAACAAGCCUCAGCCACCACAUGUCUGUGGUCCAACUCUCUCAAACUAUCCUCCUUGUGUACAUUACAAAAAGUAUAUAUAUGAGGGAAACAUAAUUUCUUGCUCUCAAGGCAACAACUGUUUUGAUGUUGGGGGAAAAGUUGCUGUUGUGAGAAACAUUGUGGAGUUUGCAUCAGGAGAAAUGUAUGCUGUGUGUCAGUUUUAUGAGAGACAAGGAUGCUUUUACAAUUAUCCUAUAGAUUUUUCUUGCCUGGGGGUCAGAAAAGUGACAAAACUAUCUGAAAGACUUCAUAGUGUGCCUGUGACUGACUUGACAAAAAAAGUUGUGCUGCUUCCUGGACAUGAUAAAAAUGUGGCUUUUCCUCUGUUACAUGGCUGCUGAUUUACCUCAUAUGAACUUUGCAGCAUGCCUCUCUUCAACAUUGUGGAGUUCAGAGAGGAAGUGACAAAUGAAGGAAGGGCUCUAAUGGAUAUCAUCCCAUCGUGUUGGUUUACUGAUGAGGACAAGACUGAGUGUUUUUGGCCAGUAGGCCUCAAACUUAAUAUCACCAAGGCAGUUAAACAGUGCCUAAGACCAGAUGAGUCAUGGAGGACUUGUACUUGGAGAUGCAAACACAUAUGAAGAUGCUCGACGCAAGCUUGCACGAGCAGAGGCUACAUCUGAUCUUCAAACAGACAACGAUAUUCCACAGAAGAGACAAAGAAGGCAAGUCCAGGCCCUUGAAACGAGUGAAGAGGACUCUGACACAUGUUGCGAUGAUGAGCUGCCACCUUCUCCACCCCUUGAUUUUAGCAGCAAUUUAAAACCAUAUAAGAGCUGUAAGAGUAACCAGCCUUCAUGCUUACCCAAGAAGCACCAGUAAUCCAUCUAAUGACUAUAAUGCCACGGCGACUGUGAAGAGCCCGAGUGCCACGGCGACUCUAAGAAGCCCGAGUGCCACCCCGUCUCAUCAAGCCUCAUCAUGCUCAAACACUGCCAGGAGCGUUGGAGAAGCCAUGUUUAUUAAACUGAUAACUUUAAUUGAGGGAGUGAAGGAAACACAGAAAGUGCAUGGCAAAAUGCUCAAUACUUUGCUUAAGCAAAGAGAAGCUUCAGUGUUGAUCGAACUGCCUCAGGGAGCAGUGUUUCCAUUAACAACAGUUGAUGAUGUCCAGACCAUGAAUGAGAAGCUGUCAGACUCAGAGUUCAUGUCAGGGGUUGUCAUCAUGGUUGGAGAAAUAGGAGGUGCUUCGGUAGACGAUGCCACCCGAAGAAUGAUGUCAUAUAUAAUGUCACCUGACCUGGCACUGGAAUACAACCUCUGCGGGCAUCAUGGGAAGAGGCCUUUCAGGGAGCUUCGUCUUUUUGACCUCAUUUAUGGAGCACUGAAGACGAACAUCCUAACAAAGGACAUCAACAAGAAGGAUGCAGAGAAGGCUCUUUCAAAAUGGUUCACUGGUGCUCGUGACAGAGGAGGGAAACGGGCGUUGCGAACACAGCGGGAGCUCACUAAACGGGGUGAAACACUGGCCCUUCAGUCCCAAGAUCAAACACAAAUCGAAUACUGAUUCUGCUAGUAAAAGUUUCAUAACUCAGAGGAUUCAGCCCAUAACACGU